RNAcentral lists this long non-coding RNA (322 nucleotides) under Androctonus crassicauda. The record is from RNAcentral. Lineage: Eukaryota; Metazoa; Arthropoda; Arachnida; Scorpiones; Buthidae.
UUUAAUUGCUACUUUUCUUAUGUGUACUUUUAUAAUUUUGUUUUUCUUUCUAAUCAUUUCUUUUUUGCAUCAUAUACAAUUUUAUAAAAUUUCUUUAUUCUAUCCAUGCUUGCUGACAGUGUUCUUUAGAAAGUCUAGCUCUUCCUGUAGGUUACUGAAGUACAUGCAGAUGAUGAAACACUCAUUCUGUAAGUGCACAGAAACUUGCUAUUUUGUAUCUGUUGUAAUCAUAUGAUGAAUUCUGGAUAUAUAUCAGCAUGCUUAUUGGCUUCCUAUAAAGUUUUAUACUGUAUCUUUCAUUUUCUUUGUAUAUAGCAGUGUC